GUGAGGAACAUAUGUAUAAUGCUUACCGUUUAUUAAAGAAAAGUAUCCUAAAUUGACUUCAAAUUCGGUGGCGGCGGUUUCUCGCUUCUUCACUUGUAUUUAGAAAUACUCGAAGGCGGGUAUUUCGAAGUCACAAAGGAAUGACGUCACAAGAAGGUGAUUGGUCACUUGCAAUGUUGAACCUGGAACAACAUUAAUUAUGAUGAUGUGGGAACAACGCUGACACGAGGAAAUCAGAUCGUCCAAUUGUUCGAGCCGUGUUUCCGAAGUAACAAAGAGGCGACGGAUGGCCUGGAUUGCAGCCAUUCAAAGACCAAAUAUAACGUCCCAGAACACUCCAGCUCACAGGUUAGUCUGCUCCAAGCAUUCCCACACAGGUCAGUCUGCUGUUGUAGUUAAUGCGUCAAUUUUCUUAACAUAAUUGGUGAUAUAGGUUACAAGCAAGUCUGGCGCUGAACAGAAAUUGUCGCUCCUUUGUUUAUUGUGCAUAAAUAGUGAAUUGUCCUGACACAAUAUUGCGUUUCGCUUCUGUUAUUAUGGUACAUUGACAAAAACAUAUACUUUUAUUCACAGGAUAAAACAGUUGUUUUGUAUCACUAAUUGCCCAGUACGAUUACAGCAUACAGUAUUAUUGUCACUGCUACAUUUCUGUGAUGCUACCAGAAAUUAUUUCCACUACUAAUUAAUUACCGUUGAGCUCAAAGGUCCUAUUAAUAAACGGUUAACGAAUCUGUAUUUAUGACGACGAUUUGUGAGACCGGUAAACUUACCUUUGUUCGUACGAUGGUCUUUCGUUCUUUUUUUUUUUUUUUUUUUUUUUUUUUUUUUUUUGCCUGUCCCGUUUGGCUCUUUUGCAUCAGAAUUGUUGUCUAAAGGCAAAGAAAGAUGCCCAACGGAUUUACUUUACCAAACUGACCAUCCCAGCCUUGCCGUAAUGGUCCAUUUGAUUCACCUUUUAUUGUUUAUUUUAUUUUCACUUACUGAAUACGGGACAGACUUGACUGGAGGAAAGAAGGGGAGAAAGAAAGAGGGAAAGAGAAACAGCUGAGAAGAGGGACGGGGGAGAAGGGCAAAAGACAAAAACCAACAGAACGGGCAGAGAAAAAAAAAAUGCAUAUAUCAAUCACCUGGAUCACCUGCUGAGAAAGAAAAAAGAAAGCAAGCAGAAGAGAACAAGAGUAAUAGAAUAAACAACAUCACAAUGAUAUAUGGGAAUAUGACAGUAAAUACUAAAUGUUAAACAUUAUUGUGCAGCACAUAAGAUCAACAGAACACAGUGUGCUUUGAGGUAGGAGCCAAAAAGGGUGUAGUUUGUGUGUGUGAGCACCCGUGUGUACACCUGUGAGCAUGGACGCACUUGUUUUUUAGUCCCAGAUGAGGGCUCACUCAGCAGCCGCGGAGCAGAAGCCAGGGGGAGUUGCAGUGACGCGCCCGUGAGCUCCGCCGGCAGCCAGCCGUGCCUGAGUGACCGAGCCCCAGGCCGAGAGGCCGGGGGCACCCCACCUCCGAAGUGGCCCGAGCGAGCCCCAGGCUCCAGGCCCCGAUAAGCGGCCGCCAAGGAGUGAGCCGGUGUGUACCUGGACGCCCAUCCCCGGA
Long non-coding RNA from Astatotilapia calliptera (eastern happy), 1596 nucleotides. NCBI's taxonomy places the organism in Eukaryota, Metazoa, Chordata, Actinopteri, Cichliformes, Cichlidae. The record is from Ensembl.